RNAcentral lists this long non-coding RNA (252 nucleotides) under Homo sapiens (human). RNAcentral describes it as "HSALNT0053881". Lineage: Eukaryota; Metazoa; Chordata; Mammalia; Primates; Hominidae. The record is from RNAcentral.
CCAGGACAUGCUCAUAAAUAACCAUCAGCACUACAAGAAAGACGUACCAAAUGUGAUUUGGAGGCGCAAGGUGCACAGGAAUGAAGGACAAAGGACAUCAAGGGCCCUGCUGGACUUGGAACCCAGGCCUGCUGGAGCAGAGAUCACAUCACAUUGCCAAGUUCAUUAUUCAGAUUCACAAUUGGGAUCACACAACUAAGGCACCUGCUGUCCUGUGUGGUGGCACACUUAACUUGGAGGCCAGCCUCUUAC